Molecule: ribosomal RNA, 1920 nt
Filed under: Hypogastrura sp. CB02
Lineage: Eukaryota; Metazoa; Arthropoda; Collembola; Poduromorpha; Hypogastruridae
Description: eukaryotic LSU rRNA
Rfam family: Eukaryotic large subunit ribosomal RNA
Source: RNAcentral
GCCAUAGCCCAUGGAGGGUGCUAGGCCCGUACGAUGAUUUUUGUUGUGCAAUGCGUUUCGUCCGUAGAGUCGGGUUGCUUGGGAGUGCAGCCCAAAUCAGGUGGUAAACUCCAUCUAAGGCUAAAUAUGACCACGAGACCGAUAGCGAACAAGUACCGUGAGGGAAAGUUGAAAAGAACUUUGAAGAGAGAGUUCAAUAGUACGUGAAACCUCUCGGGGGUAAGCGGGCAGAACUUGCAAGUAUUGAUAAGAGAUUCAGACUUGGUACUUUGAAGGCUGAGUAUAUUUGUUAAAUGAAUCAUUCGUGAUAAAUUGAUUUGUAUACUUUGAUCCUUUAGUAAUGCGUCGCAUUUCUCUUUAUCAUCCGGGUUGCAUGCAACUGAGUUGAUAGUUUAGGUACUGAGGUACUGCAAAUCCUUGUUGGUUUGAGUCUUAGUUUCCAACUAUUUAUGCGGUUGUUGAAAGCGAACAAGCGUUUUACGCGGUCAAUUAUUUUCACGAGUCGUGUACAUGUUAUAUAUGGACGGGUAACCGUAAUAUGUUAUAUGUACUGGUUGUCAGUGAGAGUAACUAUUGGCAUUGUUCAGUAUUGCAAUCUAAAGCAUGCGUGGUCUGCCUGUCCCGUCUUGAAACACGGACCAAGGAGUCUAACAUGUAUGCAAGUCAUUGAGAAUGUUAAACUCAAAGGCGUAAUGAAAGUGAAGAUCCAAUUUUAUGGAUUUGAGGAGAGAUCAUAUCUUUUGUUUAGUAUUCCGUAAGGUUUAUUGAAAAAAGUAUGCGCAUCUCCUGGACGUCUUAACCUCUGAAGGUGGGGCGUACCUAGAGCAUACACGUUGGGACCCGAAAGAUGGUGAACUAUGCCUGGUCAGAACGAAGUCAGGGGAAACCCUGAUGGAGGUUCGUAGCGAUUCUGACGUGCAAAUCGAUCGUCGGAACUGGGUAUAGGGGCGAAAGACUAAUCGAACCAUCUAGUAGCUGGUUCCCUCCGAAGUUUCCCUCAGGAUAGCUGGCGCUUAUACCAGUCUCAUCCGGUAAAGCGAAUGAUUAGAGGCCUUGGGGCCGAAACGACCUCAACCUAUUCUCAAACUUUAAAUGGGUGAGAAGUCAGGCUUGCUUGAUCGAAGCUCUGACAAUGGAUGGUGAGUGCCAAGUGGGCCACUCUUGGUAAGCAGGACUGGCGCUGUGGGAUGAACCAAACGUUGAGUUAAGGCGCCCGAAUCGACGCUCAUGAGAUCCCAUAAAAGGCGUUGGUUGCUUAAGACAGCAGGACGGUGGCCAUGGAAGUCGGAAUCCGCUAAGGAGUGUGUAACAACUCACCUGCCGAAGCAACUAGCCCUGAAAAUGGAUGGCGCUGAAGCGUCGUGCCCAUACUCAACCGUUGAGUCAUAGAGGUAUUUGUAAUAUAAUAUCCGCGAGGACUCAACGAGUAGGAGGGUCGUGGUGGUGUGCGUUGAAGGGUCUGGGCGUGGGCCUACCUGGAGCCGCCAUCAGUGCAGAUCUUGGUGGUAGUAGCAAAUACUUUGGAGAGGCCCCGAAGGACCGAUGUGGAGAAGGGUUUCGUGUGAACAGCCGUUGUACACGAGUCAGUCGAUCCUAAACCCGACGAGAAGUCGGUAUCACUGUAAGGGAGUUUAAUUGUUUUAUUAUUUAAUCAUGGAUCCCUACUUUGAUAAGGUGAAAGGGAAUCUGGUUUCAAUUCCAGAACCCGGUGUCGGAACCGCUCUUUUCGAUACAUUCCUUGUGGGUGUAUCGUCGGGGUAACCCAAAAAGACCCGGAGAAGCCGUUAGAACCCUCAGGAAGAGUUUUCUUUUCUGCAUGAGCAACUAAGCGCCCUGGAAUUCCUUCACGGAGAGAUAGGGUCAAGGUUGCGAAGAGCGUCGCAGUUAUUGUGACGUCUGAGGUGUUUUACCGGACCUUGA